Long non-coding RNA from Hypanus sabinus (Atlantic stingray), 1492 nucleotides. RefSeq lists it as uncharacterized. The record is from RefSeq and is a predicted model, not a curated record. The transcript is spliced from 5 exons. NCBI's taxonomy places the organism in Eukaryota, Metazoa, Chordata, Chondrichthyes, Myliobatiformes, Dasyatidae.
UACAGCUUGUGAUUCAGCUGGGAGCUCAGAGAAUUCGACCGUGUAGGUAGGAUUUAAGCCUACCUGGUCAAUACCUGUGGAGGAGGGGGAACUGCGCAGGCGCGAGUGACGUCAGCGUCGAGCGCGCACUUUAAAAGGCAGGACUUCUUUUCAGAGCGGGCAGCGGAGUCCGUGGAAGCAGAGUCCUGGGCUUUGGCUAAGUGGGUUUCGGUGUAAGGGGACUUCGGUAAGCUUGUGUGAUUGCUCGCUGAGGGGAAGAAGGAACCUGAAGGCAGAGGGGAAGAAGCUGUCUCAAAAUGCUGAGUGUGUGUCUUCAGGCUCCUUUACCUCCUCGAGCAGCAGUGAGAAGAAGGUACAUCCUUGAUGAUGAAGCUCUUUCAUGACGAAUGCCAAUUUCUGGAGACAGCCACGAAACAAAGAAGGACCAUGGAAGAAAAAACAACAAAAACCACAAAGAAACCUAAAACAAAUUGCACAAGCAGCAACAGAAAAAUGAAUGAAAACGUAGAACAUAAAGCAUAAAAUCAAAAAGCAUAUUCAGGUUAAAGUUUCCUUUUCCAAUGUAAAAACUAUCCCAUGGACUCUCAACAUCAAUAUCAUUUAAGAAGCUCUAAGUUCCUGGGUCAGCAUCGUGAAGAAUCUGUUCCGGGCCCAACACAUUGAUGCAAUCAUGAAGAAGACUUGCCAGCAGCUCUACUUCAUUAGGAGCUUGUGGAGAUCUGGCGAAGACUGUGAAUUCCUACAAGUGUAUGGUGAAGAGCAUUCUGACUGGUUGCAUCAGCAGCAGGCACCGAGAAGCACCAGUGUGGUCAUCGAUUCACCCAUGCUGUGGUGCUGAGUGAUGGAUAAGUAUUGGGAGGACCGCGGUGGAGACCCCUCCAGCUUUUCUUCAUGUUACUUUCAUUUGUUUUGAGAUAUAGCAUUUCAACAGGCCCAAUGGCCCAACGAGCCCAUACUGCACAAUUACACCCAUGUGACCAAUUAACCUACGAACUGGUACAUCUUUGGACUGUGGAAACCCAUCCAAUCACAGGGAGAACGUACAAACUCUUUACAGACAGUAGCAGGAAUUGAACCCAGGUUGCUGGUGCUGAAGUGGCUUUACGUAACCAAGCUGCCCCAAGGUAUCAGGGGAUCGUUCACCAUUAUGGAAUGAGAACUGAUGAGGCUUUGACUAACUCUGCUCAUAGAACAAACUGGCAGUGUUUGUAAGUGUGAACCACACCCUCAAGGGUUCCUCGCAUAAAUGUUUAGCUGUUUCUGUUCUUCUAUUGGAAGGAAUGGCCUUUUCAGCCGGCUCUUAAAUCACUUCUAAAGUGCUGAAAUGUAGCUUCAGAGAGCAGUAUUAACUCUGCCUGGUAAAGAUCCACUCAGAUUUUGAGCUGUAUUUAUUUAUCAGAGGUAAACAUACAGCGAAAUGCGUCUUUGCAUGAACGAUCAACACACACGAGAUUGAGCUUGAGGAAGCCACAAGUGUUGCCACACAUUCCGA